CCUACGGGAGGCAGCAGUGGGGAAUAUUGCACAAUGGGGGAAACCCUGAUGCAGCGACGCCGCGUGAGUGAAGAAGUAUUUCGGUAUGUAAAGCUCUAUCAGCAGGGAAGAAAAUGACGGUACCUGAUUAAGAAGCCCCGGCUAACUACGUGCCAGCAGCCGCGGUAAUACGUAGGGGGCAAGCGUUAUCCGGAUUUACUGGGUGUAAAGGGAGCUUAGACGGCAGCACAAGUCUGGAGUGAAAUGCCGGGGCUUAACCCCGGAACUGCUUUGGAAACUGUGCAGCUUGAGUGCAGGUGAGGUAAGUGGAAUUCCUAGUGUAGCGGUGAAAUGCGUAGAUAUUAGGAGGAACACCAGUGGCGAAGGCGGCUUACUGGACUGUAACUGACGUUGAGGCUCGAAAGCGUGGGGAGCAAACAGGAUUAGAUACCCCUGUAGUC
RNAcentral lists this ribosomal RNA (440 nucleotides) under uncultured bacterium. RNAcentral's name for it is "partial 16S ribosomal RNA". It matches the Rfam family "Bacterial small subunit ribosomal RNA", at positions 338 to 795 of the family's 1533-position model. The record is from RNAcentral.